RNAcentral lists this ribosomal RNA (462 nucleotides) under uncultured bacterium. RNAcentral describes it as "bacterial SSU rRNA". It matches the Rfam family "Bacterial small subunit ribosomal RNA", at positions 28 to 507 of the family's 1533-position model. The record is from RNAcentral.
GACGAACGCUGGCGGCACGCCUAACACAUGCAAGUCGAACGGAGUUAAACAAGCUUGCUUAUUAACUUAGUGGCGACGGGUGAGUAACACGUGAGUAACCUACCUUUGAGCGAGGGAUAGCUUCUGGAAACGGAUGGUAAUACCUCAUAACAUAGAAAAGCCGCAUGGCAUUUCUAUCAAAGAUUUAUCGUUCAGAGAUGGGCUCGCGUCUGAUUAGAUAGUUGGUGAGGUAACGGCUCACCAAGUCGACGAUCAGUAGCCGGACUGAGAGGUUGAACGGCCACAUUGGGACUGAGACACGGCCCAGACUCCUACGGGAGGCAGCAGUGAGGGAUAUUGCACAAUGGGGGAAACCCUGAUGCAGCGAUGCCGCGUGGAGGAAGAAGGUUUUCGGAUUGUAAACUCCUUUUAUCAGGGACGAUAAUGACGGUACCUGAAGAAAAAGCUCCGGCUAACUACGUG